GCACUCUAAAAGGCGGGCCCCGUUGGCCGUA
This 31-nucleotide small RNA is filed under the name Bombyx mori (domestic silkworm). Its description in RNAcentral is "ovarian small RNA-5253". The record is from RNAcentral. Lineage: Eukaryota; Metazoa; Arthropoda; Insecta; Lepidoptera; Bombycidae.